GGAGCUGUGGUGUUCAACAGUAGCACAGCGGACUUUUAAUCCGCCCGGUGCGGGUGCGACUCCCGCCGGCUCCACCA
This 77-nucleotide transfer RNA is filed under the name Verrucomicrobiota bacterium. RNAcentral's name for it is "Verrucomicrobia bacterium (freshwater metagenome) tRNA-Lys". It matches the Rfam family "tRNA". From Rfam's summary of the family: Transfer RNA (tRNA) molecules are approximately 80 nucleotides in length. Their secondary structure includes four short double-helical elements and three loops (D, anti-codon, and T loops). Lineage: Bacteria; Pseudomonadati; Verrucomicrobiota. The record is from RNAcentral.